UUUAAGGACAUCACUCCUCUAGAUAUAGAGCUUGCUGUUAUUCAGAUUCCUCAAGUGUGCGCCGAUAUUGUGAAAAUACCUACUCAUGCGCAUUCAGACAAAUCGGGAUAGGAUACGGAUGACUUUUCUCCUACACCCAAUCUUCAAUCUAAGAAGAAACAUGUUGAAAGUGUUGGUCCAUCUUCAUCACCGCCACAUAAGAAGGUCAAGGAACAACCCAAGAUUCCUACAAAAGAACCAGAAUAUCAGCCCAAAGUCCCUCCUGUUUGUGUUUCUGACAUUGGACAUAAACUUGUGCAUGACCAUCAGCUCCCAGAAGGCCAAAAUGAGGAAGUAUCUUCUUUGAGGAAAGACCUAAAAUCAUUCAAAGAAUACGUUGUUGGAGAGUUCAAGUCUCUAAGGACAUUGAUCAAUGAUAACUUCAAGAUGCUUUCAGACCAACUUCAACAAAAUCAGCAAACUGAACCCAUAGUGAGACAUGAUGGUGGCAUUGACACAGAUGUCGGAGAUAAUAAUGAGAAAACUAUUUCAGAGGUACCGUCCAUCAUACCAUCUACCACAAACCAAGAGGAUGUAUCUAAAGAAUUCUAUGUUUCUCAAUUUGAACUGGACGACAAGUUUCUACCCAGUCAAAUUCCAGAAACUAGAAUAGUUGUUCACGCAAGUGCAAAAAAAGAUGAAGCCACACUAGUGCAACCUCAACGAAAUAGGCG
Nicotiana tabacum (common tobacco) is the source of this 713-nucleotide non-coding RNA. The record is from RefSeq and is a predicted model, not a curated record. NCBI's taxonomy places the organism in Eukaryota, Viridiplantae, Streptophyta, Magnoliopsida, Solanales, Solanaceae.